Molecule: unclassified non-coding RNA, 2420 nt
Filed under: Zea mays
Lineage: Eukaryota; Viridiplantae; Streptophyta; Magnoliopsida; Poales; Poaceae
Description: misc RNA Zm00001eb232270
Source: RNAcentral
CUCCUACCGCACAUACCGGAUGCAGUCCGUCUUCCUCCCCUACUUCUCUGCUCCCUCUCUUCCUCAGCAGCGACCGAGCUCCAUCUCUGGCGAGCUCGCCCUGCCCCACGGCGUUCCUCCCCUUUCUUCAAUCUCCCGCCGCACCGUGCCGAACUCCCUGUGCACGCGUGCCCAGGAUUUUUCUUCUCUCCGUGGCGCUAGCUCUCUGCCGGCCGCGAGCCCCUGCCAUGGCCGCCGAGCUCCCUCCAGUCCUCUCUGCUCGCCGAGCUUCUUCCAGCCGCGCCGAUCCGGAGUUCCGCCGUCCGCGCCCCUGCUCUGCUCUCUGUUCGGCCAUGGCCGCCGAGCUCGGCCCUGCCCUCAACGCCAGCGUCCUCUGCUCUUUCUUCAGGCAGCCGCCGGCCGAGCUUCGCUUCUCUCCUCCCAGCCGAGCGGCUUCCCCUCCGUGCUCCCAUGGCGCGUCCUGCUCCCUGCGCGUCCCUGGAUCGCCCAGCCCAGCCGCGCCUGCUUUCCAUGGCCGCGGCAACGUCCUGCUUCUCCACCGGAUAUCGCGCGCCCGGGUUCCCGCUCUCUGUUUGCCGCGCGCAGCCGGCUUCUUCCCCGCGCGGCAGCUCCCUAGCGCGCUCGACCUGCCCCUGUACGACACCCAUCUCCCCUGCUCCUCCGGCGACGCGACUUCCUGCUCAUCGUCCGCGCGCCCUCCAGCUCUAGUGGCCACGCGCGCCUCGCGCGCGCUUGCUUCCCUGCCGACGCGCCCCCGACGCCGCGCUGAGCUCUCUGCGCCGCGGUUCUCCCUCAACCAGCCCCAGCCGAGCUCUCCGGUUUCUCCUCUGCGCGCCCAGCUCGCCCAGUCUGCGCGCCGAGCUCCCUCGUCGCGGCUUCCUGCUUCCUCGUCAGCGCACCUCUCACUCUGGUCUCCUGUGUCGCGUUCGCCCAGAUCGCCGCCAUUGAGUUUCCUGACGUGCCCCCUCAGCUCACUUGCCGCGCUCGCCUUGGCUCCCAGUUCGGCGCGCGAUUUUGGAGCUCUGCGCGAAUGGCGCGCGGUCUGGUGCUCUGCGGCAAGCGCUUCGUGUGGGUGGUGUGGUUUCCAAACUGCGUGAUGCGCUGGCUCGAUGCCCAGACCCCGGCCUCCGUUGUGCUCGUCUGCCUCGGCAGCAAGUACUUCGUGUCGGAGCAGCGGCAGCGACGCCCACCUUUGCGUCGUGCUCACCAGAUCGGGCCUCGCGUCGUCGAUCUGUGCAAUUCCUGUUAGCUCAAUUCCUGUUCGGCUAUCGGUUUCGCCGGUCGUCGAUUUUCUAUUUGUCAUGGUCAUCCCAUCGGUUGUUCCUAUCCGAGCUAGCCCAGCUCGCCAGCCGUCGUGCAUCUUUAGGGCUUGUUCGGUUAGCUCUCAAUCCACGUGGAUUGAGUGAGAUUGGAUGGGUUUGAAUCCCAAACAAGUCAAACUUCUUAAGAAUUUUUUCAAUCUCAUCCAAUCCAUGUGUAUUGGGAAUAACCGAACAAGGCCUUACCCAUUGAGCCGUGUGUUGCCGCGUUCACCUCGUUGUGCCAUCAUCGUCGUCAAAUGGAAAUCGCCGCGCUGGCACGUCGAUAUCGUCGAUCGCCAUCCUCGUCUACGCCAAGUCCCAAGCUGUGAAGACGCUCUUGUACUGACCACGCGUCACCAGCUCAACAAAAGGAAUCCCAUGAAUAUCUGGUCAAGAAUAGAAAUUGUGUGCAUCGCUCGCCAAACGUGUGUGAUCAAAGACGUCAACCGGAAACCGUCGUCGUGCUUCCGACUAUCUCGUCAAAUUAGUCAGGGUACGCUAGCUGAUCGCGCGAUGCGGAAGACGAGCCAAGUCGACCCCAAGUGCGGGCUACUCCGCAUGGUGAUGCUGAUGGACGAACCUGCCUGAUCAAGUGCUAGGACAAGGAUGAUCGUCAAGUGGACAUCGCCUAACAAACACUAACCUAAUGUUAUUCAGACAACGAGCAGUACGUGGUUCCUGAGUGUGUUGUUGAAGACCUCCCUGAGCAACAACCUGGUGAAGGUUGUCCCCACUUUACUCAGUGCUCAGGAGGUGAUGCUGGCAACAUGGAGGAUUUUGAGGAGUUCCAGGACUACGACGAGUUCUAGUUUAUCUUAGUGGCAAACCCCCAGUGAGCUGCCUGUGAAGGCCUUAUCUUCUACGUUUCGUAUUCCACACUUUGAUAUCAAUGUUGAACACUACGACUAUGUAUUAGACUCUGUGGAUGUCUUGGAUAUCUUGAUGUAAUUAAAGUACCUUUCCGCAAUUUACUUUGAGCAUUGUGUUAUGAUGUCCAAUUAUGUAAUCGCUGUGUACGUGAGUUUCUGAUCUCGGCACGUACAUGGUUCACAUUCGGUUUGCCUUCCAAAACCAGGUGUGACAGAAUGGUGAUAUAUGGAUGGGUACAGUCUUGAGCAG